This is a long non-coding RNA of Lycium barbarum (goji berry), 637 nucleotides long. RefSeq lists it as uncharacterized. The record is from RefSeq and is a predicted model, not a curated record. NCBI's taxonomy places the organism in Eukaryota, Viridiplantae, Streptophyta, Magnoliopsida, Solanales, Solanaceae. The transcript has 2 exons.
UUUCGGCCAAGGCAAGAGCAAACCAACCCCCAUUUUUAGCUUCUCUAAAAUUAAUUCCUUGGUGUAGAUCAACUAUAUUGAAGUCCCUAAGUAGCGUGGAAGAGUUGUUUGAGUCAUCCAACCACUAGUUGUGCCCAAUUUCAAACCCUAACUAUUGAAGGAAGUGAAUGACAAAGGUACAGACGCACAGUUCGGUGAUCCCCCAGUGUAGGAUACCCCUUUUGCUAUUGGAGUGCUCCCCUCCCUUCAGAGCACAUCUUUUGGUAUACACUUUUGUUCGCUAUGUUGUAUAUAUUCGUUCAUGGGUACGGCGGGGCCUUGUUCCGCCAUAUUAUUCGUUUGGUCUGCUUAGAGGUCUGUAGACUUAUUUGUGGGUGUGUGUGCCUACUUCUGUACAGUUGUGUCCAUAUGAUCUCCUUCGUUAUGGCAGCCUUGUCAGCAUGCAUUUUGUAUAUGUUUAUGGCAGCCUUGUCGGCUCGCACGUGUAUAUGUUGUUCUGUUGGCCCUGUGUGGCCUUUGUGGUAUUUGCUGUGUACAGGGUUAUUUUGGAUAGUCCGAAAAACAAAGGAAACUCUGCCGAAAUUUUUCUGGAAAUUGUCUAAAUUUGAAAUAUAGCCUUGAUGGCUUCUGUUAUAUA